ACAGUCGUUUGUAACUAACGGUGCUGUAUGUAUUAUUCAUUAAUACGUGUUGUAGCUUAGAACAUUAUCAAAUAGCAGUAAUGGCAGUGAAAAUUGUGCUUAAUAUACGUAGAGAAUUUCUCCAUGAAAUAGGUGAGAAUAUUGAACGAGAAAAUGUUUUUACUAUAGAUUUGAAUCCACCUACAAAUGAUAAUUUGCCUUUUCCAAAUACCACCCAUGUAAUACCCGUACGUAACUUUAGUAGAACCUUGAGAACAGAACGAACAGAAGAUUCAAUCGAAUUAGGCGGACCUAUAGAGGAGCAGGAACAAAAUCUAAGAAGAAAUAGAAGGCGAUCAAUUAAUCGAGCACGUGAAAAAUCCAGAUCUAAAUCACGAAGCCACUCCCGAGGAAGAUCAAGGGGAAGAUCACGAGGUCGAUCUCGAGGAAGAUCCAGGGGAAGAUCACGAGGUCGAUCUCGAGGAAGAUCCAGAGGACACUCUCGAGGAAGAUCCAGAGGACACUCUCGAGGAAGAUCCCGAGAAAGAUCCCGAGGUCACUCCCGAGGAAAAUCACGAGGUCACUCUCGAGAAAAAUCCCGGGGAAGAUCACGAUGACCUCGUGGAAAUUCCAGAGAAAAAUCACGAGAUCGGUGUCGUUAGCUCUAAGACAAGAUCCCGUGAUUGAGAUUACCGACGGACUAAAAGCCUAAUUCGAUGUUGAACUUGCAUUCAGCAAAUUAAUUGAAAACAAAAAAAAAAUUAAGAGUUCUAAUUAUUUUAGUUUGUAGUGUUUGUUGAAAUAAAAUUAUAUUGAAGUGAAUACAUUUAUCUUGUAUAUUUUACAAUCGCGGCAUACAUCCAAUACUUCGAGCCAGAAAUCGCAAUAGUCCAAAGGAAGAAACAUGAAUUACAAUUGUCAGAUCUAAAGGAAACCAUAGAAGAAUCAUUGCAUAGGACAUGGUUACUCAAGGCUACAAGAAGAUGGCUCCAAAGAGGAGAAAUGCCGUAUCCUGGAUACUGUAGGUCACCAGGCAGCGAAGUAUGCCUACCGGUUUUGUGCAACUGUGCAAAGUUGACAGAAAUAUGGAAAAAGAUAAAAAAAAAACGAAAACCUAGCUAAGUAAAUUUACAUCUAUCAUAUAUAAAAUAAAGAUGUAAUUAUAAAAUAAAAA
Long non-coding RNA from Vanessa atalanta (red admiral), 1153 nucleotides. RefSeq lists it as uncharacterized. NCBI's taxonomy places the organism in Eukaryota, Metazoa, Arthropoda, Insecta, Lepidoptera, Nymphalidae. The record is from RefSeq and is a predicted model, not a curated record. The transcript is spliced from 2 exons.